Molecule: small nuclear RNA, 106 nt
Filed under: Jaculus jaculus (lesser Egyptian jerboa)
Lineage: Eukaryota; Metazoa; Chordata; Mammalia; Rodentia; Dipodidae
Source: RNAcentral
GUACUUGCUUAGGCAGCACAUAUACUAAAUUGUAACAAUACAGGGAAUAUUAGCAUGGCCCCUGUGCAAGGACGAUAUGCAAAUGUGUGAAGUGUUCCAUAUUUUU